This 335-nucleotide ribosomal RNA is filed under the name Soehngenia saccharolytica. RNAcentral describes it as "partial 23S ribosomal RNA". It matches the Rfam family "Bacterial large subunit ribosomal RNA", at positions 2590 to 2925 of the family's 2925-position model. Lineage: Bacteria; Bacillati; Bacillota; Tissierellia; Tissierellales; Tissierellaceae. The record is from RNAcentral.
AAAGAGGCACGCGAGCUGGGUUCAGAACGUCGUGAGACAGUUCGGUCCCUAUCCGGCGCGGGCGGAGGAUAUUUGAGAGGAGCUGUCCUUAGUACGAGAGGACCGGGAUGGACGGACCACUGGUGUAUCUGCUGUCGGCCAACGGCAUGGCAGAGUAGCCAAGUCCGGAAGGGAUAAACGCUGAAGGCAUCUAAGCGUGAAGCCCCCCUCAAGAUGAGAUAUCCCUCACAUAAGUGGGUAAGAUCCCUUGAAGACUACAAGGUAGAUAGGGCAGGGGUGGAAGUGUGGCAACACAUGGAGCUGACUGUUACUAAUCGAUCGAGGGCUUGACCAAA